CACUCCCAGGGAGAGGGGUCUGGGGAGAGGUCUGGGAAGGGGGCACUGGGGCACCCUGAGACUCCCACUGGUGUCUUACUGUGUUUCCCUGUCAGUUCAGCUCCCCCCACCCCCCCCACCCCGCCAAGACCAUUUCAUCACCCCCUCAAGUGCAAGAGUGAAUUAAAACUCCAAGGAGACCUGAGAGGGACGCCUCUGUCACACCCUUUCUCUGGCUGCCUUGGGGGACGAGGGUGGCCUGGAGGAACAAUAGCUUCUCUUAGCCCCUUCUCCCUGGCUCAGGGAGAACAGCAAGAGAAAGAAAGAGAGGCAAACCAAAUUCCUGAAUGGAUAGAUGGAUGCUACGUCAUCGGAGCUGCAGCCUGCACUCCACAAGAGGCUAGGGGCCGGGAGAGGCAGUCCAGCCGCAGGGGCCACCCGACCAGGCUCUCCUCCCCGCGGGCGCCGGGAGCCGGGCACCCAGGAAGCAGCAGCCUUGUUUGUCCUCGGCGGACAGGCGUCAUGGAUGUCCUCGCAGGGAAUUUCCUGAUCUUGUUUUCUUCGGUUUGGGAAGUCCUUCCCAAUGGCUCACCCAGAUCUGUCCAGCUGCAAGCACCACCAGGUCACUGACCCCUGGUUUGACGUGGCUGCCUUGAGAGGUAAGGAGGGGCCUGCCCGCUUCGGUCACUUUAUGGAGGCUCCCGGACGCCAGCGGUGGGGACAGGGAAGCUGAGACUUGGCUGGCUCGGUGAGAGUCCGGUGCCCCGUAGAGACUCGGAGGCCUUCACUCAAACCUUUUGUCUGGAGGUGCCAGUGCCAGAACGUGCUUGGAGUCGCCUCUCCCUGCCCCCAUCAGCACCCCAAAAAAGAGGCAGCAGCCAGAGACCUCCCAGUUCCGUGGGGGACCUGGGAGCCAGCUGGCCCCUCCCACCAUCGGGGAGGGUCCAGCGGGGUCUCCGAGGGAUCCUGGGAUGGCGAGUGUCGCCUCCUUCGGGAGCCCAACCAGAGAAUGGUCACCUUGACCUAGCGCAACGUCUCCAAGGGGCGCUGAAGAGGGGCCAGCUUUGCGAGGGGAAUCCUGAAUGAGGAGCAGGUGGGCAGAGAAAGGCGGCCAUUCUCCACUGAGGAGGGCCCGCCAGGAAGGGCGGGCUCGGGGUAAUUUAUGACAUCAUUGUUCCCC
This 1159-nucleotide long non-coding RNA is filed under the name Oryctolagus cuniculus (rabbit). RNAcentral describes it as "lncRNA (ENSOCUG00000038896.1)". Lineage: Eukaryota; Metazoa; Chordata; Mammalia; Lagomorpha; Leporidae. The record is from RNAcentral.